UACGGGAGGCAGCAGUGGGGAAUAUUGCACAAUGGGCGCAAGCCUGAUGCAGCCAUGCCGCGUGUAUGAAGAAGGCCUUCGGGUUGUAAAGUACUUUCAGUCGUGAGGAAGGUGUUAAGGUUAAUAACCUUAGCAAUUGACGUUAGCGACAGAAGAAGCACCGGCUAACUCCGUGCCAGCAGCCGCGGUAAUACGGAGGGUGCGAGCGUUAAUCGGAAUUACUGGGCGUAAAGGGCACGCAGGCGGUUAAUUAAGUUGGAUGUGAAAUCCCCGGGCUUAACCUGGGAAUGGCAUUCAAGACUGGUUAGCUAGAGUCUUGUAGGAGGGGGUAGAAUUCCAUGUGUAGCGGUGAAAUGCGUAGAGAUGUGGAGGAAUACCGGUGGCGAAGGCGGCCCCUGGACAAAGACUGACGCUCAUGUGCGAAAGCGUGGGGAGCGAAACAGGGAUUAGAUA
RNAcentral lists this ribosomal RNA (453 nucleotides) under uncultured bacterium. RNAcentral describes it as "bacterial SSU rRNA". It matches the Rfam family "Bacterial small subunit ribosomal RNA", at positions 340 to 784 of the family's 1533-position model. The record is from RNAcentral.